AAACCAGCACCUCAAGUGGUCAGGAUGAUUAUUGGGCCUAAAGCAUCCGUAGCCGGCUCUGUAAGUUUUCGGUUAAAUCUGUACGCUCAACGUACAGGCUGCCGGGAAUACUGCAGAGCUAGGGAGUGGGAGAGGUAGACGGUACUCGGGAGGAAGUGGUAAAAUGCUUUGAUCUCUCGAUGACCACCUGUGGCGAAGGCGGUCUACCAGAACACGUCCGACGGUGAGGGAUGAAAGCUGGGGGAGCAAACCGGAUUAGAAACCCCAGUAGUCC
RNAcentral lists this ribosomal RNA (274 nucleotides) under uncultured bacterium. RNAcentral's name for it is "partial 16S ribosomal RNA". It matches the Rfam family "Archaeal small subunit ribosomal RNA", at positions 473 to 747 of the family's 1478-position model. The record is from RNAcentral.